RNAcentral lists this long non-coding RNA (1241 nucleotides) under Homo sapiens (human). Its description in RNAcentral is "HSALNT0311775". The record is from RNAcentral. Lineage: Eukaryota; Metazoa; Chordata; Mammalia; Primates; Hominidae.
GACAAGUCUAGCUUCGGUUCCCGCCGGCCUCCUGCCCCAGGACAGCUUGGAAACGGUCCGAUCAGGUGGGGCUUCCUCUUGAAAUUUGGGCCCCACCCUGGGAAGCAGCCGCCCUUAGACUGACGUCAGAUCUGGUGAGAGUGACAAGCCUUUCCUGUGCCCUUUGGAUACCGGGGCCUGGACAUUUUAGGCGCUCAGUAAACAGCUAAGUAAAUCAUGACUGCUUUAUUUGCUGGACUGGUGCCUCUCAGCAGAUUCAGGGGUCGUGCAGGGCUGGUUACCACAAACUCAGUAGGAGUGCAAGGGCUGUACCCCCGGAGCUAGACAGCCUGGGUUUGAAUCUCAACUUCUCCCUUUUCUUGCUGUGCAACCUUGGGCAACGUGCUUACUCUCAAUGUGAGUGACUCAGUUUCCUCAUAGCCUCAUUGUGAGGAAUGAAUAAGUCCACAUAAAACGCUUAGCACGGGGAUUGGCAAAGAGUAGGCACUCAGUGAAUGUCAGCCUUUGUGAUUGCUGCAGUUCAAAGACUGGCUCAGUGUCUCUGGAGGAAUUGUCUAUGACCUUGCCAAGUAGAUGCAUAUGGACAUGGAAUGAAUGGUGUCUGCUGUGGUUCUAACUCCUUAUGCCACUAUUCCAGUCUGUAAGUAUGCAUGUGUGUGCAGGGAAUAUGCCUGUGACAGUGGCUGAGUGUACUCUUUACUGUGACCAUGACUUGUAUGACUGUGCAUGUAUUUGAGGAAGCCCUGGCCAGACCCAGAGUGCAUUAGGUUCUCAAUAUGUGCAACUCAGUGUGUGGCCAAUCACCACAUGCUCUUCCGCUCACACCACGGUGCCUGCCAGCCAGGGUAGCAUCGACAUUUGAACUCCACAGCCAUCUGUGCCUGAUCUUCAAGUGAGAGGGCACCCCGCAGGCUCAGGGGCCCACCACCAGGCGUGAGCUGGAUGGAGAAACUGGCAGGGUUAAGGAGGAGGAGGGCUUUGGGGUGGCUGGUGCGGCGGACACAGCGGCCAUGGCCGGAGCACAGGGCUUGACUGCAGAGAAGGGCCCCACUGGUCACGUUCAGGAUGAAGGGCCCCAGUGUAGUGUCCAUAUACUCCUUGAUGGCCUGACAUGAUUCCUAGGUGGGAAGGGAGGAUAGCGUCAGGGACACCAUGGCCAUGUAUGGACCCACCCAGGGCACUGAGGCACUCACCUGCUGGUCAGCCAGGACUUUGCAGGUAGAAAGGGUAAGUCAGGGUCU